Molecule: long non-coding RNA, 363 nt
Organism: Cyprinodon tularosa
Lineage: Eukaryota; Metazoa; Chordata; Actinopteri; Cyprinodontiformes; Cyprinodontidae
Exons: 2
Source: RefSeq, a predicted model, not a curated record
ACCAUGGAGCUCCCCAUAAGUGAGCAUGAAGAGCAGCUUGUUCUGAAGCAGGAGACUGAAGAUACAGGAGAGAAACCUUUCCCAGACCACCUGCAGGAUUAUGUUGGAAAAGAGGAGGAUUUCUCUGAACAGCAGCUCUGUGGUCAGGAGGUAAAUUCCAGUUUGGACCAAGAGAAACCUUUGCAGAUAAAAGAAGAGCAGAUAGAACCAGAACAUCCCUGGACAAAAGAGGAAACCAUGGAGCUCCCCAUAAGUGAGCAUGAAGAGCAGCUUGUUCUAAAGCAGCAGACUGAAGAUACAGGAGAGAAACAUUUCCCAUUCUUGACAAGGGGAGAAAACCUUCUAAAAAAAGAAUAUUUUAAG